RNAcentral lists this long non-coding RNA (767 nucleotides) under Anas platyrhynchos platyrhynchos (common mallard). Its description in RNAcentral is "lncRNA (ENSAPLG00000022356.1)". Lineage: Eukaryota; Metazoa; Chordata; Aves; Anseriformes; Anatidae. The record is from RNAcentral.
GGGUGCUGUAUUCACUCUUCCAGUAACCCCAUUUAAACAGCCAUGAAGGACUCAUAAGAUUGUUCAAAAAUGCUAGAAUUUUCAACAGAAGCAGCAUGCCAUUUGGAAAAAUCUACAAGAAUGUUCACUUCAUCAGAAGGGAGAAGACUUCAUUCCCCUCAGCUGCACCUUGGCUACAAAAUAAGCCUGUUGAAAUGGCAAAUGUGGUAGGGGAAUGCUGGUGAAGCAACUGAUACUUGUGGACCCAGGUUGUACUCAGGUUGUUUUGGAGAGCACUGCAGGUUGUCUCAGAGGUGCGAUGCGGUGCGAUGUCCUUUGGUGCAUUCAGGACAUUACCACAGUUGUUGAGUCCUUACCAGGCACGUUCAAAGCUACUCUGGACAUGGAGGAAAUAGGAUGCUCCUCCAGUAGCCAUUUUAAUGUGGUGGAAAAGGAAAGAAAAGAGCUGCAUUCAGCUUUGCAUCCAGAAACUCUCCUUAAAAAGUAUACAAAUAAAGCGAAACCCUUCAUAUGUGAAAACAACUUGGGAUUCCUUCUGACCAAAUCAGCAUACUGCACUGGUGCAAAGGCUACUUUGGACUAGCUGGUGUUUGGAUUGCAUUGUCCUGGCAUGAACCUUCCUCAUGCUUUUCUCCCAGCUUGUCCUGCUCCCCGGUUGUUUAAUGUGGGUAUGAGAAGUCUCCUUUCGCUGUCAAGAGUAAGCAGCUCUGGGGUGGGCUGUGCCAGCCAUUGUCCCACUAAAUAAAAUCCUUUCCAGGGGGAUGACA